This is a long non-coding RNA of Xenia sp. Carnegie-2017, 830 nucleotides long. RefSeq lists it as uncharacterized. The transcript has 2 exons. NCBI's taxonomy places the organism in Eukaryota, Metazoa, Cnidaria, Anthozoa, Malacalcyonacea, Xeniidae. The record is from RefSeq and is a predicted model, not a curated record.
AAUUUAUAAAGCUCCAUCUGAUGCUUGUCGUUUGCUCUAGUGUUUGUAAUGGCGCUUCGCACCAGUGUUCAAGUGAAUUGAAAUGAGAUAUGUGUGAUGAGAGUAUUUGCAGCAUUAAUAAAUGAUAUUUGUUAAUAUUUUGCACAGGAAGUUACUUACUCCAGUGGAUUGUAGUGACACAACAUCGUAUUAGUUUAAAGUGGGCAAAGUUGGAUUACUAAUUUGCGGGCGAAGCAAGGUAUGAGUCAAAGCAAUGUCGAUGAAGACUCGCUGUUAACUGAAGAUGAGGAAAAUGAUUCAUUUUUUGGCAAAUUAAGCGAAUAGGUAUGGGAAGUUUAAAACUUUCUCAACAGCGAAGAUCCUGAUGAAGAAUAACGAUGAUCCUAAUUUAAUUGUGAAAUGUAGUCAUGAUUUUAACAUAGGAUCUCAAAGUAUCAAGGAUUCCACUUGGAAUCAUUAUAUCUUAGGAUCCUGACAUGAAGAUACACAGUUUUAAAUCCUAUUUUCAAGAUAGUAUUGGAAUAGUAACGAUAUUUAGAAUCCAAAAAAAUAUUGGUCUCCAGUAGAAACAGGGCGUACCUCGUAAGCAUGUGCAUAUUUUCUAGGGGGAUCCAGGGGGUACACUUCCCCCUAAAUUGUAAAGCCCCCCCCAAAGGAAAAAUUAUAAAAUGGUAUUAUGUACUGUAGACUAUCAGUAAGACUGAGUAAAAAGUGGAAAUUAUCAUUUCAAAGGCAGUUAAAUAUUUUAUACUAUCACCAUUUGCAACAGAGUUUCUAGCAUGCAAAUUUUAAUUGAAACAUUAAAAUUGAAAUAAAUUUCUAAACAUGAA